Molecule: non-coding RNA, 23 nt
Filed under: Arabidopsis thaliana (thale cress)
Lineage: Eukaryota; Viridiplantae; Streptophyta; Magnoliopsida; Brassicales; Brassicaceae
Source: RNAcentral
GACCUGGGGGUCGAGUGAUGUGA